Molecule: long non-coding RNA, 220 nt
Filed under: Vigna radiata
Lineage: Eukaryota; Viridiplantae; Streptophyta; Magnoliopsida; Fabales; Fabaceae
Description: long non-coding RNA (VRAD_LNC006534)
Source: RNAcentral
GGAAGUAUAGGCUCAAGGNGGCUAACAAAGAGAUCAUAACAGGGUAGGCUAUCUGGCUAUAGAGGCUNAAUCAACAAAAUGCCUUUAUCAUUUUCAAACAUGCUCAUGAAUCAAGAAUUAUCAAUAGAGUCAAGCCAAGGCAAAUGUGCAAGCAAUCCAGAGACAUAUCACACACAAGAAAGAUCAUCAAAUGGCUCAAAUCUCACACAGGUAAUCGGUC